RNAcentral lists this small nuclear RNA (164 nucleotides) under Drosophila erecta. RNAcentral describes it as "snRNA:U1:3". It matches the Rfam family "U1 spliceosomal RNA". From Rfam's summary of the family: U1 is a small nuclear RNA (snRNA) component of the spliceosome (involved in pre-mRNA splicing). Its 5' end forms complementary base pairs with the 5' splice junction, thus defining the 5' donor site of an intron. There are significant differences in sequence and secondary structure between metazoan and yeast U1 snRNAs, the latter being much longer (568 nucleotides as compared to 164 nucleotides in human). Lineage: Eukaryota; Metazoa; Arthropoda; Insecta; Diptera; Drosophilidae. RNAcentral also lists the same sequence under 1 other name. The record is from RNAcentral.
AUACUUACCUGGCGUAGAGGUCAACCGUGAUCACGAAGGCGGUUCCUCCGGAGUGAGACUUGGCCAUUGCACCCCGGCUGAGUUGACCUCUGCGAUUAUUCCUAAUGUGAAUAACUCGUGCGUGCUAUUUUUGGUAGCCGGGAAUGGCGUUCGCGCCGUCCCGA